Molecule: long non-coding RNA, 596 nt
Organism: Sebastes umbrosus (honeycomb rockfish)
Lineage: Eukaryota; Metazoa; Chordata; Actinopteri; Perciformes; Sebastidae
Exons: 4
Source: RefSeq, a predicted model, not a curated record
GUUGAGCUGACCAUUUUCCCCACAGUGGUCAACCUGAACAGGAUCAAGCUUAACAGUAAACAGUGCCGCAUCUACACGGUCCCAGUCAACGAACUCAAAGCCCCGUUCAUUUACAAUGACCCCACGCUGGAGGUGUGCCACCAUGAGUCCAAACAUGUAUGCAAGAGAGAGACAGAGGGAGCUCCAUAAUGGGAUGACGACCUCCAUCAUCUGACAUAAUCAGGAUGAAUCAGGCCAGGUGGUCGGAGCGGGAGAAGGCCCUCUGACACAGCAGACACUCGUAGGGUUUUUGGCCCGUGUGCUUGCGGUAGUGACGCGUCAGCUCAUCUGAACGGGCAAAUUUCCAGCUGCAUCCUUCCCAUGAACAGUGAUGAGUGCAGAUUUUCUGGACCAAAACUGAGAAUGACAGUUUCAUCACUCACUUCAUCCACGUCUUUGUCUUCUUCUACUGUAUGAAUCAAAGGGUUAAUAUAAAGGGGUCAUGUCUGCUGUGUUUUCAAUUAAAAUAUUAACAACAAUUGGAUUUUCCGUUCCAUAACCCCUCUUUCUAUCUCUCCGAAACAAUGGGAGAAGACAGUCUCAUACUAUGCUCUGGA